UAGGCUAAAGUCCGCUGGCUUGGGCUCCUAGUUGUUAACUAGUUUUUUACGGGGUCGAGGCCCGUUAGUCUAUU
This 74-nucleotide transfer RNA is filed under the name Cyrtodactylus jellesmae. Its description in RNAcentral is "tRNA-Asx". The record is from RNAcentral. Lineage: Eukaryota; Metazoa; Chordata; Lepidosauria; Squamata; Gekkonidae.